UGGGGAAUCUUGCACAAUGGGCGAAAGCCUGAUGCAGCCAUGCCGCGUGGAUGAUGAAGGCCCUAGGGUUGUAAAAUCCUUUCGCCAGGGAUGAUAAUGACAGUACCUGGUAAAGAAGCCCCGGCUAACUUCGUGCCAGCAGCCGCGGUAAUACGAAGGGGGCUAGCGUUGUUCGGAAUUACUGGGCGUAAAGCGCGCGUAGGCGGACUUUUUAGCCAGAUGUGAAAUCCCGGGGCUCAACCUCGGAACUGCAUUUGGAACUGGAAGUCUAGAGUUCAGGAGAGGUUCGUGGAAUGCCGAGUGUAGAGGUGAAAUUCGUAGAUAUUCGGUGGAACACCAGUGGCGAAGGCGACGAACUGGACUGAUACUGACGCUGAGGCGCGAAAGUGUGGGGAGCAAACAGGAUUAGAUACCCCCGUAGUCC
Molecule: ribosomal RNA, 424 nt
Filed under: uncultured prokaryote
Description: bacterial SSU rRNA
Rfam family: Bacterial small subunit ribosomal RNA
Source: RNAcentral